GCACAAGCGGUGGAUGAUGUGGAUUAAUUCGAUGCAACGACGUAAAACCUUACCUACCCUUGACAUGUCCGGAAUCCCGAAGAGAUUUGGGAGUGCUCGCAAGAGAACCGGAACACAGGUGCUGCAUGGCUGUCGUCAGCUCGUGUCGUGAGAUGUUGGGUUAAGUCCCGCAACGAGCGCAACCCUUGUCAUUAGUUGCCAUCAUUUGGUUGGGCACUCUAAUGAGACCUGCCGGUGACAAACCGGAGGAAGGUGGGGAUGACGUCAAGUCCUCAUGGCCCUUAUGGGUAGGGCUUCACACGUCAUACAAUGGUCGGUACAGAGGGUUGCCAACCCGCGAGGGGGAGCUAAUCCCACAAAGCCGAUCGUAGUCCGGAUCGCAGUCUGCAACUCGACUGCGUGAAGUCGGAAUCGCUAGUAAUCGUGGAUCAGCAUGUCACGGUGAAUACGUUCCCGGGUCUU
RNAcentral lists this ribosomal RNA (462 nucleotides) under uncultured Rhodocyclaceae bacterium. RNAcentral's name for it is "bacterial SSU rRNA". It matches the Rfam family "Bacterial small subunit ribosomal RNA", at positions 923 to 1382 of the family's 1533-position model. The record is from RNAcentral. Lineage: Bacteria; Pseudomonadati; Pseudomonadota; Betaproteobacteria; Rhodocyclales; Rhodocyclaceae.